RNAcentral lists this ribosomal RNA (428 nucleotides) under Bacteroidota bacterium. Its description in RNAcentral is "Bacteroidetes bacterium partial 16S ribosomal RNA". It matches the Rfam family "Bacterial small subunit ribosomal RNA", at positions 355 to 776 of the family's 1533-position model. The record is from RNAcentral. Lineage: Bacteria; Pseudomonadati; Bacteroidota.
UAGGGAAUCUUCUGCAAUGGACGCAAGUCUGACGGAGCAACGCCGCGCGAGUGAAGAAGGAUUUCGGUUCGUAAAACUCUGUUGUUAGAGAAGAACAGCGCAUAGAGUAACUGUUAAGCGUGUGACGGUAUCUAACCAGAAAGCCACGCCUAACUACGUGCCAGCAGCCGCGGUAAUACGUAGGUCCCGAGCGUUGUCCGGAUUUAUUGGGCGUAAAGCGAGCGCAGGCGGUUAGAUAAGUCUGAAGUUAAAGGCGGUGGCUCAACCAUUGUAGGCUUUAGAAACUGUUUAACUUGAAUGCAGAAGGGGAGAGUGUAAUUCCGUGUGUAGCGGUGAAAUGCGUAGAUAUAUGGAGGAACACCGGUGGCGAAAGCGGCUCUCUGGUCUGUAACUGACGGUGAGGCUCGAGAGCGUGGGGAGCGAACAGG